This 1347-nucleotide ribosomal RNA is filed under the name uncultured bacterium. RNAcentral describes it as "bacterial SSU rRNA". It matches the Rfam family "Bacterial small subunit ribosomal RNA", at positions 28 to 1381 of the family's 1533-position model. The record is from RNAcentral.
GAUGAACGCUAGCGGGAGGCCUAACACAUGCAAGCCGAGCGGUAUUGUUUCUUCCGAAAUGACAAAGAGGCGUACAGGUGCGAAACACAUGUGCAACCUGCCUUUAUCUGGGGGAUAGCCUUUCCAAAAGAAGAUUAAUACUCCAUAACAUAUUGAUUGGGAUCAGUUAAUAUUGAAAGCUCCCGCGGAUAUAGAUGGGCACACGCAAGAUUAGCUAGUUGGUGAGGUAACGGCUCACCAAGGCGAUGAUCUUUAGGGGGCCUGAGAGGAUGAUCCCCCACACUGGUACUGAGACACGGACCAGACUCCUACGGGAGGCAGCAGUGAGGAAUAUUGGACAAUGGGUGCAAGCCUGAACCAGCCAUCCCGCGUGAAGGACGACUGCCCUAUGGGUUGUAAACUUCUUUUGUAUAGGGAUAAACCUACCCUCGUGAGGGUAGCUGAGAGUACUAUACGAAUAAACACCGGCUAACUCCGUGCCAGCAGCCGCGGUAAUACAGACGGUGCAAGCGUUAUCCGGAUUUAAUGAGUUUAAAGGGUCCGUAGGCGGACUUAUAAGACAGAGGUGAAAGCCUGUCGCUUAACGAUAGAACUGCCUUUGAUACUGUAAGUCUUGAGUAUAUUUGAGGUAGCUGGAAUAACUAGUGUAGCGGUGAAAUGCAUAGAUAUUACUUAGAACACCAAUUGCGAAGGCAGGUUACCGAGAUAUAACUGACGCUGAUGGACGAAAGCGUGGGGAGCGAACAGGAUUAGAUACCCUGGUAGUCCACGCCGUAAACGAUGCUAACUCGUUUUUGGGCUUUAGGGUUCAGAGACCAAGCGAAAGUGAUAAGUUAGCCACCUGGGGAGUACGCUCGCAAGAGUGAAACUCAAAGGAAUUGACGGGGGCCCGCACAAGCGGUGGAUUAUGUGGUUUAAUUCGAUGAUACGCGAGGAACCUUACCAAGCCUUAAAUGGGAAUUGACAGUCUUUAGAAAUAGAGCUUUCUUCGGACAAUUUUCAAGGUGCUGCAUGGUUGUCGUCAGCUCAUGCCGUGAGGUGUUAGGUUAAGUCCUGCAACGAGCGCAACCCCUGUCACUAGUUGCCAUCAUUCACAUGGGAGACUCUAGUGAGACUGCCUACGCAAGUCGAGAGGAAGGUGGGGAUGACGUCAAAUCAUCACGGCCCUUACGUGUUGGGCCACACACGUAAUACAAUGGCCGGUACAGAGGGCAGCCACACAGCGAUGUGAUGCAAAUCUCGAAAGCCGGUUUCAGUUCGGAAUGGAGUCUGCAACUUGACUCUAUGAAGCUGGAAUCGCUAGUAAUCGCGCAUCAGCCAUGGCGCGGUGAAUACGUUCCCGGGCCU